This 28-nucleotide small RNA is filed under the name Bombyx mori (domestic silkworm). RNAcentral describes it as "ovarian small RNA-6145". The record is from RNAcentral. Lineage: Eukaryota; Metazoa; Arthropoda; Insecta; Lepidoptera; Bombycidae.
UACGUUCCAGCAAUUUACCCGCCUCGUC